CAAUAGCGUAUAUUAAAGUUGUUGCAGUUAAAAGCUCGUAGUCGGAUUUUGGCAUCACGCCGAACUGUCUGCCGAUUGGUAAGUACGGUUUGGCGGGUGCUUCCUUCCGGAGGCUCGUUCCCUUCUUCAUUGAAGGGUUCGUUGGUUCCGGGUCUUUUACUUUGAGAAAUUAGAGUGUUCAAAGCAGGCCUAUGCUCUGAAUAGGUUAGCAUGGAAUAAUAGAAUAGGACUUUGGUUCUAUUUUGUUGGUUUCUAGGACCGAAGUAAUGAUUAAUAGGGACAGUUGGGGCAGUUCGUAUUAACGCGUCAGAGGUGAAAUUCUUAGAUUGCGUUACGGCGAACUACUGCGAAAGCAUUUGCCAAGGAUGUUUUCAUUAAUCAAGAACGAAAGUUAGGGGAUCGAAGACGAUCAGAUACCA
RNAcentral lists this ribosomal RNA (419 nucleotides) under uncultured eukaryote. RNAcentral's name for it is "bacterial SSU rRNA". It matches the Rfam family "Eukaryotic small subunit ribosomal RNA", at positions 592 to 1017 of the family's 1831-position model. The record is from RNAcentral.